This 354-nucleotide ribosomal RNA is filed under the name uncultured bacterium. RNAcentral describes it as "bacterial SSU rRNA". It matches the Rfam family "Bacterial small subunit ribosomal RNA", at positions 29 to 386 of the family's 1533-position model. The record is from RNAcentral.
AACGAACGCUGGCGGCGUGCCUAACACAUGCAAGUCGAGCGGUAACAGGCCCUUCGGGUGCUGACGAGUGGCGGAUGGGUGAGUAAUACUUAGGAAUCUACCCUGUAGUGGGGGACGAACCCGGGAAACGUCGGCUAAUACCGCAUACGCUCUACGGAGGAAAGCGGGGACCGCAAGGCCUCGCGCUAUUGGAUGAGCCUAAGCCCGAUUAGCUAGUUGGUGGGGUAAUGGCCUACCAAGGCAAUGAUCGGUAGCUGGUCUGAGAGGACGACCAGCCACACUGGGACUGAGACACGGCCCAGACUCCUACGGGAGGCAGCAGUGGGGAAUAUUGGACAAUGGGCGAAAGCCUGA